This 95-nucleotide ribosomal RNA is filed under the name Escherichia coli. RNAcentral describes it as "partial 23S ribosomal RNA". The stretch from base 1 to 77 matches the Rfam family "Bacterial large subunit ribosomal RNA", at positions 2849 to 2925 of the family's 2925-position model. RNAcentral also lists the same sequence under 1 other name. The record is from RNAcentral. Lineage: Bacteria; Pseudomonadati; Pseudomonadota; Gammaproteobacteria; Enterobacterales; Enterobacteriaceae.
GACGUUGAUAGGCCGGGUGUGUAAGCGCAGCGAUGCGUUGAGCUAACCGGUACUAAUGAACCGUGAGGCUUAACCUUACAACGCCGAAGGUGUUU